UUAGAGUUUGAUCCUGGCUCAAGAGGACCUUUGGCGGCGUGCCUAACACAUGCAAGUCGAGCGAAGCGGUUUUAAGGAAGUUUUCGGAUGGAAUUAAAACUGACUGAGCGGCGGACGGGUGAGUAACGCGUGGGCCCCCUGCCUCAUACAGGGGGAUAACAGUUAGAAAUGGCUGCUAAUACCGCAUAAGCACACAGCUUCGCAUGGAGCAGUGUGAAAAACUCCGGUGGUAUGAGAUGGACCCGCGUCUGAUUAGCUAGUUGGUAAGGUAACGGCUUACCAAGGCGACUAUCAGUAGCCGACCUGAGAGGGUGACCGGCCACAUUGGGACUGAGACACGGCCCAAACUCCUACGGGAGGCAGCAGUGGGGGAAUAUUGCACAAUGGGGGAAACCCUGAUGCAGCGACGCCGCGUGAGUGAAGAAGUAUCUCGGUAUGUAAAGCUCUAUCAGCAGGGAAGAAAAUGACGGUACCUGACUAAGAAGCCCCGGCUAACUACGUGCCAGCAGCCGCGGUAAUACGUAGGGGGCAAGCGUUAUCCGGAUUUACUGGGUGUAAAGGGAGCGUAGACGGCGGAGCAAGUCUGAAGUGAAAGCCCGGGGCUCAACCCCGGGACUGCUUUGGAAACUGUUCUGCUAGAGUGCUGGAGAGGUAAGUGGAAUUCCUAGUGUAGCGGUGAAAUGCGUAGAUAUUAGGAGGAACACCAGUGGCGAAGGCGGCUUACUGGACAGUAACUGACGUUGAGGCUCGAAAGCGUGGGGAGCAAACAGGAUUACAUACCCUGGUAGUCCACGCCGUAAACGA
RNAcentral lists this ribosomal RNA (804 nucleotides) under uncultured bacterium. Its description in RNAcentral is "bacterial SSU rRNA". It matches the Rfam family "Bacterial small subunit ribosomal RNA", at positions 1 to 809 of the family's 1533-position model. The record is from RNAcentral.